Molecule: ribosomal RNA, 464 nt
Filed under: uncultured bacterium
Lineage: Bacteria
Description: bacterial SSU rRNA
Rfam family: Bacterial small subunit ribosomal RNA
Source: RNAcentral
CCAGACUCCUACGGGAGGCAGCAGUGAGGAAUAUUGGUCAAUGGCCGAGAGGCUGAACCAGCCAAGUCGCGUGAGGGAUGACGGCCCUACGGGUUGUAAACCUCUUUUGCCGGGGAGCAAAGAGCGGGACGCGUCCCGCCUCGAGAGUACCCGGAGAAAAAGCAUCGGCUAACUCCGUGCCAGCAGCCGCGGUAAUACGGAGGAUGCGAGCGUUAUCCGGAUUUAUUGGGUUUAAAGGGUGCGUAGGCGGCAUUAUAAGUUAGUGGUAAAAUAUUGGGGCUUCACCUCACUACGCCAUUAAUACUGUAGAGCUAGAGAACAGACGAGGUAGGCGGAAUAAGUUAAGUAGCGGUGAAAUGCAUAGAUAUAACCUAGAACACCGAUAGCGAAGGCAGCUUACCAGACUGAGUCUGACGCUGAUGCACGAGAGCAUGGGUAGCGAACAGGAUUAGAUACCCCCGUAC